CGGCGGACGGGUGAGUAAUGCUUAGGAAUCUGCCUAUUAGUGGGGGACAACAUCUCGAAAGGGAUGCUAAUACCGCAUACGUCCUACGGGAGAAAGCAGGGGACCUUCGGGCCUUGCGCUAAUAGAUGAGCCUAAGUCGGAUUAGCUAGUUGGUGGGGUAAAGGCCUACCAAGGCGACGAUCUGUAGCGGGUCUGAGAGGAUGAUCCGCCACACUGGGACUGAGACACGGCCCAGACUCCUACGGGAGGCAGCAGUGGGGAAUAUUGGACAAUGGGGGGAACCCUGAUCCAGCCAUGCCGCGUGUGUGAAGAAGGCCUUUUGGUUGUAAAGCACUUUAAGCGAGGAGGAGGCUACCGAGAUUAAUACUCUAGGAUAGUGGACGUUACUCGCAGAAUAAGCACCGGCUAACUCUGUGCCAGCAGCCGCGGUAAUACAGAGGGUGCAAGCGUUAAUCGGAUUUACUGGGCGUAAAGCGCGCGUAGGUGGCCAAUUAAGUCAAAUGUGAAAUCCCCGAGCUUAACUUGGGAAUUGCAUUCGAUACUGGUUGGCUAGAGUAUGGGAGAGGAUGGUAGAAUUCCAGGUGUAGCGGUGAAAUGCGUAGAGAUCUGGAGGAAUACCGAUGGCGAAGGCAGCCAUCUGGCCUAAUACU
Molecule: ribosomal RNA, 650 nt
Filed under: Acinetobacter sp. DH60-2
Lineage: Bacteria; Pseudomonadati; Pseudomonadota; Gammaproteobacteria; Moraxellales; Moraxellaceae
Description: bacterial SSU rRNA
Rfam family: Bacterial small subunit ribosomal RNA
Source: RNAcentral